RNAcentral lists this transfer RNA (77 nucleotides) under Candidatus Latescibacterota bacterium. Its description in RNAcentral is "tRNA-Val". It matches the Rfam family "tRNA". From Rfam's summary of the family: Transfer RNA (tRNA) molecules are approximately 80 nucleotides in length. Their secondary structure includes four short double-helical elements and three loops (D, anti-codon, and T loops). RNAcentral also lists the same sequence under 1 other name. Lineage: Bacteria; Pseudomonadati; Candidatus Latescibacterota. The record is from RNAcentral.
GGGCGAUUAGCUCAGGAGGUCAGAGCGCCUGCUUGACAUGCAGGAGGUCGCUGGUUCAACUCCAGCAUCGCCCACCA